Molecule: ribosomal RNA, 482 nt
Filed under: uncultured bacterium
Lineage: Bacteria
Description: bacterial SSU rRNA
Rfam family: Bacterial small subunit ribosomal RNA
Source: RNAcentral
CUACGUGCCAGCAGCCGCGGUAAUACGUAGGUGGCAAGCGUUGUCCGGAAUUAUUGGGCGUAAAGCGCGCGCAGGCGGAUUAGUCAGUCUGUCUUAAAAGUUCGGGGCUUAACCCCGUGAUGGGAUGGAAACUGCUGAUCUAGAGUAUCGGAGAGGAAAGUGGAAUUCCUAGUGUAGCGGUGAAAUGCGUAGAUAUUAGGAAGAACACCAGUGGCGAAGGCGACUUUCUGGACGAAAACUGACGCUGAGGCGCGAAAGCCAGGGGAGCGAACGGGAUUAGAUACCCCGGUAGUCCUGGCCGUAAACGAUGGGUACUAGGUGUAGGAGGUAUCGACCCCUUCUGUGCCGGAGUUAACGCAAUAAGUACCCCGCCUGGGGAGUACGACCGCAAGGUUGAAACUCAAAGGAAUUGACGGGGGCCCGCACAAGCGGUGGAGUAUGUGGUUUAAUUCGACGCAACGCGAAGAACCUUACCAGGUCUU